UACGGGGGGGGCAAGCGUUGUUCGGAAUUACUGGGCGUAAAGGGCGCGUAGGCGGCUCGCUAAGUUGGAUGUGAAAACUCUGGGCUUAACCCAGAGCCUGCAUUCAAAACUGACGGGCUAGAGUUCUGGAGGGGAUAGCGGAAUUCCUGGUGUAGCAGUGAAAUGCGUAGAUAUCAGGAGGAACACCGGUGGCGAAGGCGGCUAUCUGGACAGAAACUGACGCUGAUGCGCGAAAGCCAGGGGAGCAAACGGG
Molecule: ribosomal RNA, 253 nt
Filed under: uncultured bacterium
Lineage: Bacteria
Description: partial 16S ribosomal RNA
Rfam family: Bacterial small subunit ribosomal RNA
Source: RNAcentral